This is a non-coding RNA of Oryctolagus cuniculus (rabbit), 2497 nucleotides long. The record is from RefSeq and is a predicted model, not a curated record. NCBI's taxonomy places the organism in Eukaryota, Metazoa, Chordata, Mammalia, Lagomorpha, Leporidae.
AUGGGUUUCAAUGCUACCUGAGGUCACAAGCUCUAGAUAUGCUGGUCCUAGCCCCAGAGAAUGUCCAGGGCACAGAAGCUUCAGGGCUUACAAACUCUAGCAGCUGGUCUUCAGGCAUAGGCUGUGUUAUUUUUACAACCCAGGAGCUUUUCCUCCUGGCGUGAGGAACAGUGCCCCACUAGACAUCGGUUUCUUGCAGAGAUGACAUCCAUAAGCUCAUGUUGGGUGCUGGGAAAAUGCCCCAAUUAUACAUGCAUUUGCUCCCGAGUGGGUUGGCACCUUUGUGAAAGCAGCAGCACUCUUCACAUGGCCAGAUUAUGUAAGGCAUGUUCAUUCAGACAAUUUAAUAGGGACAUUGAGCAAUGAAGAUGCCCUUAGAUAUAAAUCAACCCACAGGGAGCCCUGGAGGCAGGCUGCUUAAAACCAAAAACCUCAAAUUGGGGUAUAAAAACUUUGUAAUGUAUCCAAUAUGACUAGUACAAGGGAUCUGAAACACAUGUAUGAGCAUAACAGGGUUUGUGGAGAGCCAUAUCACUUUUGUCUUUUCAGGUUCUACAGAAACUUCAGCUGUAUAUGAUCCCUCAUUCAUCCCUGUGGACUCACUCCUAAGGGUACAGUUUCAAAAACCUCUAGAAAAUGGAGAUACCAAGUGGUUUACUGAUGGCAGUAGUUACAUGAAGUACAGAGUUAAAAGGCAGUUUAUGCCAUGGUGGGUCUUACUCAGGUGAUAGAAUCUCAGACAUUGCCAACUAGCACUUGAUCACAAAAGGCUGAACUUACUGCUUUAACUAUAGCCUUGCAAUGAGGAAGAGCUAAUGAGUUAAUAUGUACGGGCUCCAGUUUGUUUUCCUUGAGUUCCAUGCACAUGGAGCAAUUUGGAAAGGAAGAGCCCUCCUGACUGCAAAGAACUCUCCCAUUAAAUAAGGAGAAGAGAUGUUGGCUCUCCUUCAGGAGCACUGGAGUCUUUAGAAAGUGGUUGUCAUCUGCUGCAGGGGACACAAGAAGACAGAUAGCCAUGCUAUUCAGGGAAAUGUGCUAGCAGAUAAGGCAGCAAAAAUUGCUGCUGCAGAGCAGGUUCUAGAAAUAGCUUUAGUACCUGAGCUUUUUGGUCACUAAAUAUCCUCAAUACAGGAGCCCUGUCAUAGAAUGUUCUCCUCAACCAGGCUACAUGGAGGAUGCCAGUGUUCACUCAUAAGUCCAUGUGCUGAAUGGAGGAUUAUUAAUAUAUGACUCUCACUGUUUUGGAAGAGGCGGUUUAAUGCCACGAGUUCCUUGGGUGUUUGGAGGGUAAAGGCUGCAUACUGUCAUAAAGACAAUACCUCAGCAUGUGGUGACUGCUUUAGGUUUUUCUUAUCUCCAUGCCCCUUGGAGACCUUAGUCAUCAAAUAAACUAAAAAAGCUAAUCAUAUUCUUAAGAUACUCCUGGCUAAGCUUUGCCAAGAGACCUCAGAAACAUGGCUUAAAUUCUUACCUAUUGCCCUCAGGUUGAAAGUGGCACCUAAGGCUGCCUGACUAAAAUGCUAUAUAAAAAGGUCUUCUUCACCUCUGACACUCUCUUUGACUCAGGGAUACAGGAUCAGAUAAAAGUUUAUUAUUAAUCUUUUUCCUAUACAAGAGGCUAAUGGACUGUGGUAAUAAAAUUCUCACAGUGCCAGGUCCCAAAAGUCAUGACAGCCUGUCCCCAGGAGACCAAGGCUGAAGAGACACUUGCAGCAAAGACUCUAACUCUGAUCAGUUGCAGCCUAAAUGAAAGGGAUCCUACCAGGUGCUACUCAGCACUCCUACUGAAGUCAAAUUCAGGGCAUCCCAAGCUGGGUACCUUUGUCAAAGAUCUCAGUUCUACCUCUUUAGUCUUCACAGGUGCACACAGAGAACAAGUCUGCUCGCUCUUGUGAAUGCAUUGAAGAUCUCGAAUACAUCUUCAAAGGGCAAAAGGCUUCUCAAAAUGAUGAUGACCAUGCGAGGCAACAGCGAUUGGCCGUGACAGAUGAACAUUUUCCAGCUCAUGAGAUGGAUCGAUUAGAUAAGAAGAGGUUUCUGAACCCUGGAUAGGUAGGGACAACGCCCCUGGCCAGCAGGAAGUAGCUACAGAAGACGGAUCAUCAUCCUUCAGCACCCCCUUAAGAUUAAGGGUCAGAAAUCUCUGCGGGGGGAUGAGAUGGGAUAAGGCAGGUAGCUAGCUUAGGGCCACAGAGCUGGAAGUCCCAAGUCGCAAGCCCUCACCCCAUGUAAUUCUAUCCUACUUGUCCAAUAAACUGCCCCUUACUGGGCAUGUUUCCUUCUGGGUGGGGCACGUGCCAUGUGAAUAGCCACCACACUUCUACCUCAAAAGCAGCCAGCACUGGAAGAAGUGUGUCCUGCUCUUGGGAGACGGAUGCUGAGGUGCUCUCUCCACUCCUCUCCCAUCCGUUUUCUCCUUCUGGCCCACUCCCCACCCAUGCUCACAUUUCCUUGCUUUAUCAUCCCUUAAAUAAAUGUUAUCGUUUCGUGUACUGUA